This 68-nucleotide transfer RNA is filed under the name Marmota monax (woodchuck). RNAcentral describes it as "tRNA.Ser". Lineage: Eukaryota; Metazoa; Chordata; Mammalia; Rodentia; Sciuridae. The record is from RNAcentral.
GGACUGUAACUCAGUGGUAAAGUGCUUGCCUCGAAUGUGUGAGGCACUGGGUUCAAUCCUCAGCACCA